This 244-nucleotide ribosomal RNA is filed under the name uncultured bacterium. RNAcentral describes it as "partial 16S ribosomal RNA". It matches the Rfam family "Bacterial small subunit ribosomal RNA", at positions 333 to 569 of the family's 1533-position model. The record is from RNAcentral.
GGGUACCUACGGGGGGCAGCAGUAGGGAAUCUUCCACAAUGGACGAAAGUCUGAUGGAGCAACGCCGCGUGAGUGAAGAAGGGUUUCGGCUCGUAAAGCUCUGUUGGUAGUGAAGAAAGAUAGAGGUAGUAACUGGCCUUUAUUUGACGGUAAUUACUUAGAAAGUCACGGCUAACUACGUGCCCGCAGCCGCGGUAAUACGUAGGUGGCAAGCGUUUUCCGGAUUUUUUGGGCGUAAAGCGAG